UGACCCAUGGUGUAAUGGUAACACUACUGAUUUUGGUUCAGUCAUUCUAGGUUCGAAUCCUAGUGGGUCAA
RNAcentral lists this transfer RNA (71 nucleotides) under Xanthocytophaga agilis. RNAcentral's name for it is "tRNA-Gln". It matches the Rfam family "tRNA". Rfam says of the family: Transfer RNA (tRNA) molecules are approximately 80 nucleotides in length. Lineage: Bacteria; Pseudomonadati; Bacteroidota; Cytophagia; Cytophagales; Rhodocytophagaceae. RNAcentral also lists the same sequence under 1 other name. The record is from RNAcentral.